Molecule: transfer RNA, 72 nt
Filed under: Salmo salar (Atlantic salmon)
Lineage: Eukaryota; Metazoa; Chordata; Actinopteri; Salmoniformes; Salmonidae
Rfam family: tRNA
About the family: Transfer RNA (tRNA) molecules are approximately 80 nucleotides in length.
Source: Rfam by way of RNAcentral
UCCCAUGUGGCUCAGUUGGUAGAGCAUGGUGUUUGCAACGCUAGGGUUGUGGGUUCGAUUCCCACGGGGGAC